Long non-coding RNA from Vigna unguiculata (cowpea), 447 nucleotides. RefSeq lists it as uncharacterized. The record is from RefSeq and is a predicted model, not a curated record. NCBI's taxonomy places the organism in Eukaryota, Viridiplantae, Streptophyta, Magnoliopsida, Fabales, Fabaceae.
CUCUUUUAUCUUCUCUUCUCUUUUCUUGUGUCUGUUCCUCCUAGAAUUUAAUCCUUCCUCAUCUUUUUGAAGAUAGAAGCACAAGUAAGAUUUUUGCAACAAACCAUACAAUAUGUUCUUAGCAAUUUAUACAUAUAAGGCAAGCUUGGGUAGUGUGUGGGUGUUUGAGGAAGUUAGUAGGCUCCUUCCUUGAGAAUUGAGAAGGAGUUUUUGAUGAUGAGAAAGGAUUUGUAUGGUUCAAAUGUGGGCUAUGGUGUUUCUAAUGCUUGAAGUUGAUUCUGUGAAACUUUAUACUAAAGAGUUGUAUUUCAUAGGAGUGAUUUGUGUGUAUGUAAUGUAGAUACAUAUAUUUGAGUGAAUGGUAUCUUGUAACAGCAAGUGAUAGUCUUAAGAUUUGGAAUUGUUUUAUAACUAGUUUAGUGGAUAUCAUUGGGCGCCCUAACCCUA